Neolamprologus brichardi is the source of this 538-nucleotide non-coding RNA. Lineage: Eukaryota; Metazoa; Chordata; Actinopteri; Cichliformes; Cichlidae. The record is from RefSeq and is a predicted model, not a curated record.
UAUACCCGGUAAAAAACUGAAUCACCUUCGUCGUACUGAAAACCCGGAGUUAACCCUAAAAGUACCCGGAUACAGAUUAAAUCCUGCUUUGUAGUGCAGGCCUCUGGUAGCCUGCUACCACUCAAUCAAGAACCGCGACCUUUGAACAACAGCCCAUGUGCUUCCGGCCGUCCAGCUGCUAUCAAUCAAACACUGACUCAUCCGCUAAGAAGUAAUGAACAAGGGCGGAUGGAGACAAAACCCACCUGUAUCCUGGCAAAGACUAAAAGAUUCUUGCAGGGUGGUCAGGAGCCACGCUGAGCCUUGGAUCACACCGUUUGUACCCGGCAGAUAACCCUGACGAUGACCCCGGGCCCUGCCUCAAACCUCUGUGCCUUCGUCCAUCCUUUUGGCCUCGUCCUUCCUCCAGAACAUCACGCUCGCAAACACUCAACCCUCCGCUAGUUCCAUAUUUAAAGAGAGAGAAACUGCAGGAGUAAAAUUGUACUUAAUAAUACAAGUUAGAGUCAAAAAGGAAUAAAAUUCUGUAUUCAAGCCA